CAAUAGCGUAUAUUAAAGUUGUUGCAGUUAAAAAGCUCGUAGUUGGGUUUCGGGGCAGCCUGGCUGGUCCGCCGCAAGGCGAGUACUGGUCAGCCGCCCUUCCUCUCGAAAGCCCCGACUGCUCUUCAUUGCAGUGGUCGGGUAGUUCGGGACGUUUACUUUGAAAAAAUUAGAGUGUUCAAGGCAGGCCUACGCCUGAAUACAUUAGCAUGGAAUAAUGGAAGAGGACCUCGGUCCUAUUUUGUUGGUUUCCAGGGCCGAAGUAAUGAUUAAGAGGGACAGUUGGGGGCAUUCGUAUUUAAUUGUCAGAGGUGAAAUUCUUGGAUUUGCGAAAGACGAACUACUGCGAAAGCAUUUGCCAAGAAUGUUUUCAUUAA
This 377-nucleotide ribosomal RNA is filed under the name uncultured eukaryote. RNAcentral's name for it is "partial 18S ribosomal RNA". It matches the Rfam family "Eukaryotic small subunit ribosomal RNA", at positions 592 to 976 of the family's 1831-position model. The record is from RNAcentral.